CAGCAGCCACGGUAAUACGGAGGGGGCUAGCGUUGUUCGGAAUUACUGGGCGUAAAGCGCACGUAGGCGGCUUGGUAAGUUAGAGGUGAAAGCCCGGAGCUCAACUCCAGAAUUGCCUUUAAGACUGCCGAGCUAGCAGGUGAGAGAGGUAAGUGGAAUUCCGAGUGUAGAGGUGAAAUUCGUAGAUAUUCGGAAGAACACCAGUGGCGAAGGCGGCUUACUGGCUCAUACUGGACGCUGAGGUGCGAAAGCGUGGGGAGCAAACAGGAUUAGAUACCCGUGUAGUCCCUGUCUCUUAUAC
This 301-nucleotide ribosomal RNA is filed under the name uncultured bacterium. RNAcentral describes it as "partial 16S ribosomal RNA". It matches the Rfam family "Bacterial small subunit ribosomal RNA", at positions 509 to 807 of the family's 1533-position model. The record is from RNAcentral.